This 747-nucleotide ribosomal RNA is filed under the name uncultured bacterium. RNAcentral's name for it is "bacterial SSU rRNA". It matches the Rfam family "Bacterial small subunit ribosomal RNA", at positions 48 to 789 of the family's 1533-position model. The record is from RNAcentral.
CUUACACAUGCAAGUCGAACGGCAGCGCGGGGCAACCUNNGCGGGGAGUGGGGAACGGGUGAGUAAUAUAUCGGAACGUGCCCUGGAGUGGGGAAUAACGCAGCGAAAGUUGCGCUAAUACCGCAUACGAUCUAAGGAUGAAAGCGGGGGAUUCGCAAGAACCUCGUGCUCCUGGAGCGGCCGAUAUCUGAUUAGCUAGUUGGUGGGGUAAAGGCCUACCAAGGCAUCGAUCAGUAGCUGGUCUGAGAGGACGACCAGCCACACUGGAACUGAGACACGGUCCAGACUCCUACGGGAGGCAGCAGUGGGGAAUUUUGGACAAUGGGCGAAAGCCUGAUCCAGCAAUGCCGCGUGAGUGAAGAAGGCCUUCGGGUUGUAAAGCUCUUUUGUCAGGGAAGAAACGGUGAAGGCUAAUAUCCUUUGCUAAUGACGGUACCUGAAGAAUAAGCACCGGCUAACUACGUGCCAGCAGCCGCGGUAAUACGUAGGGUGCAAGCGUUAAUCGGAAUUACUGGGCGUAAAGCGUGCGCAGGCGGUUUUGUAAGUCUGUCGUGAAAUCCCCGGGCUCAACCUGGGAAUUGCGAUGGAGACUGCAAGGCUAGAAUCUGGCAGAGGGGGGUAGAAUUCCACGUGUAGCAGUGAAAUGCGUAGAGAUGUGGAGGAACACCGAUGGCGAAGGCAGCCCCCUGGGUCAAGAUUGACGCUCAUGCACGAAAGCGUGGGGAGCAAACAGGAUUAGAUACCCUG